UUAAAGAGUUCUAUAACUCCCAAACCCAUGUGAACAUACCUAACGUUGCCUCGGCAGGUCGCACCUACCUUGUAGCACCCUACCCUGUAGGGCCUACCCGGGAGGUGCGGGUAAGCCUGCCGGCGGCCCACCAAACUCUGUUUGAUAUUGAAUUCUGAACCUAUAACUAAAUAAGUUAAAACUUUCAACAACGGAUCUCUUGGUUCUGGCAUCGAUGAAGAACGCAGCGAAAUGCGAUAAGUAAUGUGAAUUGCAGAAUUCAGUGAAUCAUCGAAUCUUUGAACGCAUAUUGCGCCCAUUAGUAUUCUAGUGGGCAGGACCGUUCGAGCGUCAUUUCAACCCUUAAGCCUUCGUUGCUUAGUGUUGGGAGCCUACGGCAACGUAGCUCCUCAAAGUUAGUGGCGGAGUUGGUUCACACUCUAGACGUAGUAAUUUUUUAUCUCGCCUAUUAGUUGGACUAAUCCCCUGCCGUAAAACCCCUAAUUUAUCAAGGUUGACCUCGAAUCGGUUCAGACAAACUCGCUAAAUUGAA
This 532-nucleotide ribosomal RNA is filed under the name fungal endophyte. RNAcentral describes it as "eukaryotic LSU rRNA". The stretch from base 180 to 333 matches the Rfam family "5.8S ribosomal RNA". The record is from RNAcentral. Lineage: Eukaryota; Fungi.